CGGUGAUGGUUAUGGUUAUUGUGUUUUGGUGUAGUGAUUGUUUUAAUGUUUUAGAAUGCAAUUGUGCAAAUAUUUGUGUCCAUAUUCAGUUGUAAAGCUUUUUUUUUCCCCUUCCAUCAUUGUGCUUGUUUGACGCUAAGCCACUCAUCCCCCAGAAACAGUGUUGACAUGAGGCAGAUCAGAUGGCCGGCCUUCCUGGUGACCAGAUUUCAGGACAGCAAGCAUCCCGGCCAGACCCCAGGGUGGAAAGUCCUCGAAAGCAAGGAUCCUGGCUCUCGGCUCUGUGUCAGCUCUGUGUAUACAGCACAGGGCUUGGCACACCGUAGGUGCUUGGUGAACAUCUGGGGAAUGAAAGAUACCUUGCAGAUUCAUAUAAAUGCCUCACCUGUGCCUCAUAGUUG
RNAcentral lists this long non-coding RNA (401 nucleotides) under Homo sapiens (human). Its description in RNAcentral is "non-protein coding lnc-RTL6-2:2". The record is from RNAcentral. Lineage: Eukaryota; Metazoa; Chordata; Mammalia; Primates; Hominidae.